Bos taurus (domestic cattle) is the source of this 1226-nucleotide long non-coding RNA. The record is from Ensembl. NCBI's taxonomy places the organism in Eukaryota, Metazoa, Chordata, Mammalia, Artiodactyla, Bovidae.
UGGAAGGGCUCUCUUGUGGGUGUGACAGAGGCAGAACAUAGAAAUGAGAGAUUUCUAGAAGGGAGGGUGAGCAAGCAGGAAGGCAAGAGAAAUGUCCACUUCCUUCGACCUCAUUCAAAGUGGCCCUGGCACCGACAACUUGGGGCUUUAGAUCCCUGCGAAUUGGGCCCUGAGGGCUGAGACUAAGAGGAGUUAGUGACUGGCCCACGUCUGGGGAACUCGGACAGGGGAAUCCGGGUGCCCACAGAGGAAAAGACCUUCUUCCUUCCAUUGAGGAGACUUCCACCAGUCAGCUGGUCAAGCAGUGUGUGGGGCUUGUGAUUUUCUGCUCCUCGUGCUCUUUCCUCAGCAGUUAAACCUGGCCACCACAGCCUCAUUCCUUCGAGGCCACUGCAGCAGCCUCCACACUAGCCCCUGUUCUGGCCAGUCCCCCAACCACACUGCUGUGAACAGUAUUCUCCAAAAGGGAAUGUGAUGGUGUCACUCUUGAAGCCUCCUGGUGACCUGCAGGUCUGCGUGGAAGCUCAGCCCUGCCUUGGCUUGGAGCCUCUGAGUGCUGGUCCUGCCCAGCCCCCUGCCCAGCCUCCUGCCCAGGCCCCUGCCCUGGUCUUUCCUAUUCACCCCCCACUACAUGCCCAUAACGCACGACUGAUGGUGCUCUCAGUCGUGUCCGACUCUGCGACCCCAUGGACGGUAGCCUGCCAGGCUCCUCUGCCCGUGGCAUUUUCCAGUGUUGUGUUGGUUUCUGCUGUACAAUGUGAACCAACCGAAUUGACAAAGAAUGCAUUUCUUUUGAGAAGAGUCUCUGAGAUGCUGGAAAACAGGACAUUGGGCAGAAAUGCUGGAGGCUGAGCUCCUUUAUGGCCAUCUCCGGAACCUCAUCACUCUACCAACCUCUCUACUGUAGAGCUGGAGUUCAGAGAGAGACAGGUAUUAUGGGAUGCACAUUAACAUGUUCAUUGGAGAACUUCCCUGGUGAUGCUGAGGAUAAGAAUCUGCCUGCCAAUGCAGGGGACACAGGUUCGAUCCCUGAUCUGGGAGGAUUCCACAUGCCACAGAGCAACUAAGCCAGGGACCAUGACGACUGAGCCCAUGCUAUACAGCCUGAGAGCCACAACUACUAAAACCUGUGCAUCUAGAGCCUGUGCUCCACAAGAGAAGCCAUCACAAUGAGAAGCUUGAGCACGGUAAUGAAGUGUAGCCUCUGCUCACCGCAACUAGAGAAA